RNAcentral lists this ribosomal RNA (253 nucleotides) under uncultured bacterium. RNAcentral describes it as "partial 16S ribosomal RNA". It matches the Rfam family "Bacterial small subunit ribosomal RNA", at positions 524 to 776 of the family's 1533-position model. The record is from RNAcentral.
UACGUAGGGUGCAAGCGUUGUCCGGAAUUAUUGGGCGUAAAGAGCUCGUAGGCGGUCUGUCGCGUCGGCUGUGAAAACUCGGGGCUCAACCCCGAGCCUGCAGUCGAUACGGGCAGACUAGAGUGCUGUAGGGGAGACUGGAAUUCCUGGUGUAGCGGUGAAAUGCGCAGAUAUCAGGAGGAACACCGGUGGCGAAGGCGGGUCUCUGGGCAGGAACUGACGCUGAGGAGCGAAAGCGUGGGGAGCGAACAGG